GAUGAACGCUGGCGGCGUGCCUAAUACAUGCGAGUCGAGCGAACAGACGAGGAGCUUGCUCCUCUGACGUUAGCGGCGGACGGGUGAGUAACACGUGGAUAACCUACCUAUAAGACUGGGAUAACUUCGGGAAACCGGAGCUAAUACCGGAUAAUAUAUUGAACCGCAUGGUUCAAUAGUGAAAGACGGUUUUGCUGUCACUUAUAGAUGGAUCCGCGCCGCAUUAGCUAGUUGGUAAGGUAACGGCUUACCACUGCAACGAUGCGUAGCCGCCCUGAACGGGUGAUAGGCCACACUGGAACUGAGACAAGGUCCAGACUCCUACGGGAGGCAGCAGUAGGGAAUCGUCCACAAUGGGCGAAAGCCGGACGGAGCAACGCCGCGUGAGUGAUGAAGGUCUUCGGAUCGUAAAACUCUGUUAUUAGGGAAGAACAAAUGUGUAAGUAACUAUGCACGUCUUGACGGUACCUAAUCAGAAAGCCACGGCUAACUACGUG
This 497-nucleotide ribosomal RNA is filed under the name uncultured bacterium. RNAcentral describes it as "partial 16S ribosomal RNA". It matches the Rfam family "Bacterial small subunit ribosomal RNA", at positions 28 to 507 of the family's 1533-position model. The record is from RNAcentral.